UGAGGGACAUUUACAUCAGGGCUUGAAC
Molecule: non-coding RNA, 28 nt
Filed under: Homo sapiens (human)
Lineage: Eukaryota; Metazoa; Chordata; Mammalia; Primates; Hominidae
Source: RNAcentral